UUUUAAAAACAUAGGAAGAUGUUUCAGACACAUUGGGCAUAAAAGAAGAAUGACUUCCUGAAGACGCUGGACCAUGUUGACCAUGAUUUCCUGCUCCGAUCCUUUCUGCCCUGCUGCUUCCAUCAAAUCAAAUGAAAACAGCAAAUCACUGAUCAUAGUAGCCAAAUGUAGAUACUAAUUGAUUGUUCUGCCAGUAUCCCCAAGGGCUGAGUUGUGUAAGAACUGUUUCAUUAUUGCCCUGGAGGAUGGCUCAAGCUGUGCAAAAA
Molecule: long non-coding RNA, 266 nt
Organism: Sphaerodactylus townsendi
Lineage: Eukaryota; Metazoa; Chordata; Lepidosauria; Squamata; Sphaerodactylidae
Exons: 2
Source: RefSeq, a predicted model, not a curated record